This 360-nucleotide ribosomal RNA is filed under the name uncultured bacterium. Its description in RNAcentral is "bacterial SSU rRNA". It matches the Rfam family "Bacterial small subunit ribosomal RNA", at positions 917 to 1296 of the family's 1533-position model. The record is from RNAcentral.
GGGCCCGCACAAGUAGUGGAGCAUGUGGUUUAAUUCGAAGAUACGCGCAGAACCUUACCAACACUUGACAUGUUCGUCGCGACUUUAAGAGAUUAAAGUUUUCGGUUCGGCCGGACGAAACACAGGUGCUGCAUGGCUGUCGUCAGCUCGUGUCGUGAGAUGUUGGUUAAGUCCCGCAACGAUGCGCAACCCUCACUUUUAGUUGCCAUCAUUUAGUUGGGCACUCUGAAAGAACUGCCAGUGAUAAGCUGGAGGAAGGUGGGGAUGACGUCAAGUCCUCAUGGCCCUUACGUGUUGGGCUACACACGUGCUACAAUGGUAGUGACAAUGGGUUAAUCCCAAAAACCUAUCUCAGUUCGG